GAACGCUGGCGGCAUGCCUAACACAUGCAAGUCGAACGAGACCUUCGGGUCUAGUGGCGCACGGGUGCGUAACGCGUGGGAAUCUGCCCUUGGGUUCGGAAUAACAGUUAGAAAUGACUGCUAAUACCGGAUGAUGUCGUAAGACCAAAGAUUUAUCGCCCAAGGAUGAGCCCGCGUAGGAUUAGCUAGUUGGUGGGGUAAAGGCCCACCAAGGCGACGAUCCUUAGCUGGUCUGAGAGGAUGAUCAGCCACACUGGGACUGAGACACGGCCCAGACUCCUACGGGAGGCAGCAGUGGGGAAUAUUGGACAAUGGGCGAAAGCCUGAUCCAGCAAUGCCGCGUGAGCGAUGAAGGCCUUAGGGUUGUAAAGCUCUUUUACCCGGGAUGAUAAUGACAGUACCGGGAGAAUAAGCUCCGGCUAACUUCGUGCCAGCAGCCGCGGUAAU
This 447-nucleotide ribosomal RNA is filed under the name uncultured bacterium. RNAcentral describes it as "bacterial SSU rRNA". It matches the Rfam family "Bacterial small subunit ribosomal RNA", at positions 31 to 524 of the family's 1533-position model. The record is from RNAcentral.